Molecule: ribosomal RNA, 485 nt
Filed under: uncultured bacterium
Lineage: Bacteria
Description: bacterial SSU rRNA
Rfam family: Bacterial small subunit ribosomal RNA
Source: RNAcentral
GACGAACGCUGGCGGCGUGCCUAAUACAUGCAAGUCGAACGAGGUCCAAGGGAGCUUGCUCCCUGACGAUCGAGUGGCGAACGGGUGAGUAACACGUGAGAAACCUGUCCCGGACUCUGGGAUAACUCGGGGAAACCCGAGCUAAUACCGGAUACCUUCCAUUGACCGCAUGAUCAGUGGAAGAAAGUUUUUCGGUCUGGGAGGGUCUCGCGGCCUAUCAGCUUGUUGGUGAGGUAACGGCUCACCAAGGCAGUGACGGGUAGCUGGUCUGAGAGGACGAUCAGCCACACUGGGACUGAGACACGGCCCAGACUCCUACGGGAGGCAGCAGUAGGGAAUCUUGCGCAAUGGGCGAAAGCCUGACGCAGCAACGCCGCGUGCGGGAAGACGGCCCUCGGGUUGUAAACCGCUUUCAGCAGGGACGAAAAUGACGGUACCUGCAGAAGAAGGUCCGGCUAACUACGUGCCAGCCGCCGCCGUAAGAC